GGAAAGUUGGACCUAGUUACUAGGUCCCAACGACAAGAUACACUUUUAUCAAACAAAAUAAAUAUGUUAAAAAAAAGUUGGUAUAACAACUGAAGUGUCUGAAGGGCUAUUCCUACAGCAUAUAUCAGGCCCUAUAUAGUCUUCUUUUAUAUAGACGAAAAUACUGGUACAAGUAACUAAUAUACUUUUUUUAUCACAUUUAUUGACUGGUGAAAUCAGCUUGUUCCAAAGUCCACCAUUUCCCACCUAAAUGGACGGAAAAUGUACAGAACUUCCGGUGAGCCCCUGAAGAGGAGAGCAACACAAACACAUACAGCAGCCAUAGCCACCAUUGAGAACAUUGCAGGCCUGUACAGUAGAGAUCGACUCCGACUUCCAUAAGCCAGCUUCCUAUCACAAAGUCUGCAUGGCCGAGGAAUGGCUUUUCUCUCAGUCAUUGAUAUCUCUAAGCUGGUGGUUGCACACACUUCAUCUUUCUGGUUACUGUUCUCAACGACAGACGGAACGCGAGGAAUAUCAACCACUAUAUGUCCGCUGUUCGCUUUCUUGCUAAUUUUCCUCUGUACCAGGUGAAUGUAAGAAUAAUGCCCUCGCAAGCGGGCAUAAUCUUCU
This 612-nucleotide unclassified non-coding RNA is filed under the name Hevea brasiliensis (rubber tree). Lineage: Eukaryota; Viridiplantae; Streptophyta; Magnoliopsida; Malpighiales; Euphorbiaceae. The record is from RNAcentral.